UACGGGGGGGGCAAGCGUUGUUCGGAAUUACUGGGCGUAAAGGGUUCGUAGGUGGCCUGCUAAGUCACACGUGAAAUCCCUCAGCUUAACUGGGGAACUGCGUGUGAGACUGGCGGGCUUGAGUGCAGGAGAGGAACGCGGAAUUCCAGGUGUAGCGGUGAAAUGCGUAGAUAUCUGGAGGAACACCGGUGGCGAAGGCGGCGUUCUGGACUGCUACUGACACUGAGGAACGAAAGCCAGGGUAGCAAACGGG
RNAcentral lists this ribosomal RNA (253 nucleotides) under uncultured bacterium. RNAcentral describes it as "partial 16S ribosomal RNA". It matches the Rfam family "Bacterial small subunit ribosomal RNA", at positions 524 to 776 of the family's 1533-position model. The record is from RNAcentral.